Molecule: non-coding RNA, 119 nt
Organism: Schistosoma haematobium
Lineage: Eukaryota; Metazoa; Platyhelminthes; Trematoda; Strigeidida; Schistosomatidae
Source: Rfam
GCCGGCGGCCAUAGAACGUUGAAAGCUUCGGUUCUCGUCCGAUCACCGCAGAUAAGCGACGUUGGGCCCAGUCAGUACUUGUAUGGGUGGCCGGCCGGGAAUACCGGGUGACACCGGCU